RNAcentral lists this transfer RNA (73 nucleotides) under Patescibacteria group bacterium. RNAcentral describes it as "tRNA-Ala". It matches the Rfam family "tRNA". From Rfam's summary of the family: Transfer RNA (tRNA) molecules are approximately 80 nucleotides in length. Their secondary structure includes four short double-helical elements and three loops (D, anti-codon, and T loops). The record is from RNAcentral.
GGGCUGUUAGCUCAGUUGGUAGAGCGUCGCAUUCGCAUUGCGAAGGUCAUCGGUUCGAAUCCGAUACAGUCCA